This 253-nucleotide ribosomal RNA is filed under the name uncultured bacterium. Its description in RNAcentral is "partial 16S ribosomal RNA". It matches the Rfam family "Bacterial small subunit ribosomal RNA", at positions 524 to 776 of the family's 1533-position model. The record is from RNAcentral.
UACGAAGGGGGCUAGCGUUGUUCGGAUUUACUGGGCGUAAAGCGCACGUAGGCGGAUCGAUCAGUCAGGGGUGAAAUCCCAGAGCUCAACUCUGGAACUGCCUUUGAUACUGUCGAUCUGGAGUAUGGAAGAGGUGAGUGGAAUUCCGAGUGUAGAGGUGAAAUUCGUAGAUAUUCAGAGGAACACCAGUGGCGAAGGCGGCUUACUGGUCCGGUUCUGACGCUGAGGCGCGAAAGCGUGGGGAGCAAACAGG